CGUGGCAGAGCUUGUUAAGCAACUUAUUUACACUAAGAAGAGCUCUGUGUUAGACAGAGUGUUGUGA
This 67-nucleotide transfer RNA is filed under the name Isotomurus maculatus. Its description in RNAcentral is "tRNA-Val". Lineage: Eukaryota; Metazoa; Arthropoda; Collembola; Entomobryomorpha; Isotomidae. The record is from RNAcentral.